This 253-nucleotide ribosomal RNA is filed under the name uncultured bacterium. RNAcentral describes it as "partial 16S ribosomal RNA". It matches the Rfam family "Bacterial small subunit ribosomal RNA", at positions 524 to 776 of the family's 1533-position model. The record is from RNAcentral.
UACGUAGGGUGCAAGCGUUAAUCGGAAUUACUGGGCGUAAAGCGUGCGCAGGCGGUUGUGCAAGACAGAUGUGAAAUCCCCGGGCUUAACCUGGGAACUGCAUUUGUGACUGCACGGCUAGAGUGCGGCAGAGGGGGAUGGAAUUCCGCGUGUAGCAGUGAAAUGCGUAGAUAUGUGGAGGAACACCGAUGGCGAAGGCAAUCCCCUGGGCCUGCACUGACGCUCAUGCACGAAAGCGUGGGGAGCAAACAGG